Molecule: long non-coding RNA, 3025 nt
Filed under: Cricetulus griseus (Chinese hamster)
Lineage: Eukaryota; Metazoa; Chordata; Mammalia; Rodentia; Cricetidae
Description: lncRNA (ENSCGRG00015027054.2)
Source: RNAcentral
CCCCGCCUCUGCCCCCCCUCUCUCUCUCUCUGCAGCCUGAGCUCUGAAGUAAGUAAGGAGCAGAGGUCUCCAUGACUUGCGUCUAUACCUUCUUUCUGGCAGGUAGCUUGGGAAUUCGAAGGCAUAUUUUGCUUCCCUCUCGGCUCUUGCAUUCCGAAUUGAGUUGUCAGUCAUCUGGUUUCUAGGUGAAAAGUUACUGCUAUUUUGUAUGUCUGUGAACUUCAUGAAAAGUCUGGCCACGUGGCAAGCACCAGGACAGGAAAUAUGGGGUGCACCCAUCUCACAACGAUGCACAGUUUGGCUCUGUCUGCGGUGAAAUGUGGGGCCCAGGAGGAAACAGGAAUGGAUCUUCUCAGCUAUACUCGAUGACUCUGCCGAGAUUCCACCUGGAAGCUGCACUCAGCUCAGAGCUCCUAAUUACCAGCCAGGUACAGACAAAUGGGCCGAGUGUUUGGGGAAAAGCAGCAAGAGUGAUGGAGAAAGACAACUUGAUUUAUGGAGAGAGAUUAAAGGAGCUGAAUAGGUGGAGCUCAGCAAAAGAUGAUGGGGUGGAGCUAGGGGACCAUCUCCUUGUAUCUGAAGGCUGCAAACAGUCAGCAGACUAAGAGUUAUUUCGGUUAGAGCCGAGAAACAUAACAAAGAGUGAUGAAAAGAAAUUUAUGAUAAUAAUAGACUGUAAUUUUAUACCUAUUCCCAAACCAAGGAACCUCAAAACAUUUUAUGGCUAAGUAUAAUACACACACUACAACAGGGCGUGUUGAGGCUGUAAAGUGGCAGGUAAUUUAGCAAAAGCCUUUGAAAGAAAUAAUAUUUAGUGAGAAGGUAAUGGGUCCUCCUCGUGUAAAGAGCAGGGACCUGGCUUUUGUUUUGUCUGCUGCCCACUCCCAGGCGUGGUUCAGAUGGAGAAUGGCAUUGCUUUAUGUUUUCUGAAGCACGCAGGGUUCAACCUUCUUUAAAAAGAGGAGGAGGAGAUCCUUACAGAUCAGAGCAAAACUUGGAAGGCUGCUACAGCAAAGCUCUUAACCCAGCGCCAGGUUCCCCACUGGCUGACUUGGGCAGUUUGGGCUGCUAUGGAAAUGUGCUUUAGCCUCAACAGCUUAUGAACAACACAAAGACACCACUCUCCAUGCCAGAGGCUGGGACCCGAAGAGCUAAGCGCUGGUAGAAUAGGAGGCCAGAAGACAGUCUCCUGAGACUGGAGUUACAUGUGGUUGUGAGAUACCCAGCAUGGGAACCAGAAACCACCUUUUAGUCUUCCGCAGCGGCAGUGUGCAGGAGGAACUGUACCUGGUCACCCCGCCUGAAACAUCAUCCCACUGCUCUCCCACUACUGUGCUCCACACAGCUGGGGUGCUGGACCCUGAUAGAGACUCUGAGGGAGUGAAGAAAAGAGAGACACACAGGAAAGCUGGGAUCCAGUGAGGACUUGGCUACCUCCAGCAACCUGGAACUUCAGUGUUGUUUUUAUGUGGUUUUUGUUUUGCAAAGCACAGGGGCGGAGUUAGCUAGCCUCAGUAGGAGGUGUCUGUCUCUGAGCAUCUCAGGAUGUAAACAUCUGGAAGAAGAGGAAGCCACCAAUUUUCAUACAGACUGGUUACCCUCUCACUCUCAGACUCCCAAGGAAAGCUUUGCCAUCUCCUUGAGCCUGAUCCAAGUAAGGCUUUGCCACUCGGGUGGGGCUAAGGCAUUGGAACACUUGAUGUGGCAGUGCCCGUGUGAACAGUACACACUCACUCAGGACUUCUCAGGGCUCUCUCUGCUCCUGACACCCCAGCCCCUACUUUGUUUUUAAGCAUAUUUUUUUGUCGAUUCUUUAAGAAUUUUAUAUCAUGCACCCCAAUUCCACUCAUUUCCCAAUUCUUCCAUUUCUGCCUUCUACCCUUGUAACAUCCCCUCAAAGGAAAAAAAAAUCUCACUGAUCCCUCUAGGCAGGACCUGCUUCCCAAUCUAUCAAUCACAGCCUUCUCACGCCUGUCACAGCUGUUGUGUCUCCAGUUCCUCUGUGCAUGGACCAUUCUGCUCCUCCAUCUUUCCUGCCUCUCCAUCACAUAUUUGCCAUUGGGAUCUGUGGUGUGUAACACAGUAGACCCUUUUGCCCAAACAGCUUUACAUGCAAACACUCAUUGCAAUGAGUCAUUGGUCUGCUUCAAGGCCUCUGGCUGUUGCUACACCAUCAGUACCAGACCUUCAUCCAGACUCCUCUCAGAUAUCCUACUGUUGCCCCAAGUCAUAGAGAUCCUCAGCUAUGGUCACGAAGGACCAGCCCUUCACUUGAUCCAGCAAGCUCAUAAAUGGGGUGGAUAUUGGGGUGGACCAACUCAAAAUCCUGGGAUGUGGGCUUGGGUGGUAGAUGAGUUGGUCAGCCCACAAGUUCUUCCAUGAAGAAACCACUGGGGCCAGCUCUCCCAUCCUGCUCAGGUGAGGGGCAGAGCCAGCUCUCCUGCAUGUGAUGGCCAGAGAGGGGCAGGACCAACUCUGUAUAUCCCUAGGACACCAACAUGACUUCAAGUGUCAGCCCAGACCACGGACAUCUGCAUAGCCUUUGGUGGCAGCAUGGGCCAUGGACAUCAACAUAGACUCAUAGACAGCUGUGUGUGGCAAGGCCAUGGACCCAGACAUGGCCCUCGUCAGCAGCACAGGCCUGGGUAUCACCAUGACCUCAGGUGGCAGCACAGGCCAGCAUCAGGCUGUUCCUUACCACCCUUGUGUCUCCAGUUUGGCCUUUCUUCACAGUACACAAACCACUCUACUUGCUUUCUCUCCCCUCUCUCUACCACAUACUUGCUCAUUGUUGUGGCACUUGCCUGUUUUGUUAUUUUUUUUAAAGAGUUGUUUCCAGUAUCUAAAAUCAUUAUAUUAUUGAAUUAUUACGUUCCUUUCUGUCUGUUCUGGUUUGAAUGCAAACUCCUAAAGGAUAGAAAAUUUAUAUGUUCUGUUCAGUAUCCUCAUCACUUCCUGGACACUGAUAGUAUAUGCAAAUAUUAGCAAAGUAAAUUUACUUUUUUUCAAAUAGGGAAGACUUACA